RNAcentral lists this transfer RNA (65 nucleotides) under Wallacidia oculata. RNAcentral describes it as "tRNA-Pro". The record is from RNAcentral. Lineage: Eukaryota; Metazoa; Arthropoda; Insecta; Hymenoptera; Mutillidae.
CAUUAUAUAGUUUAUUUAAAAUUUAAGUUUUGGAGACUUGGGAAAUACUUAUUGUAUUUUAAUGA